CAGUAGCCGCGGGAAUACGUAGGUGGCGAGCGUUGUCCGGAAUCAUUGGGCGUAAAGGGAGCGCAGGCGGGCAUAUAAGUCUUUCUUAAAAGUUCGGGGCUCAACCCCGUGAUGGGAAAGAAACUAUAUGUCUUGAGUACAGGAGAGGAAAGCGGAAUUCCCAGUGUAGCGGUGAAAUGCGUAGAUAUUGGGAGGAACACCAGUGGCGAAGGCGGCUUUCUGGACUGCAACUGACGCUGAGGCUCGAAAGCCAGGGGAGCGAACGGGAUUAGAUACCCGCGUAGUCCCUGUCUCUUAUACC
RNAcentral lists this ribosomal RNA (301 nucleotides) under uncultured bacterium. RNAcentral describes it as "partial 16S ribosomal RNA". It matches the Rfam family "Bacterial small subunit ribosomal RNA", at positions 509 to 808 of the family's 1533-position model. The record is from RNAcentral.